AUACGGAGGAUCCGAGCGUUAUCCGGAUUUAUUGGGUUUAAAGGGAGCGUAGGCGGGAUAUCAAGUCAGCUUGUGAAAUGUAGAUGCUCAACAUCUGCACUGCAGUCGAAACUGGUGUUCUUGAGUGCGUAAGAGGUAGGCGGAAUUCGUCGUGUAGCGGUGAAAUAGCAUAGAUAUGACGAAGAACUCCGAUUGCGAAGGCAGCUUACUGGGCCGCAACUGACGCUGAAGCUCGAAGGUGCGGGUAUC
This 249-nucleotide ribosomal RNA is filed under the name uncultured bacterium. RNAcentral describes it as "partial 16S ribosomal RNA". It matches the Rfam family "Bacterial small subunit ribosomal RNA", at positions 523 to 769 of the family's 1533-position model. The record is from RNAcentral.